Long non-coding RNA from Ostrea edulis (European flat oyster), 6946 nucleotides. RefSeq lists it as uncharacterized. Lineage: Eukaryota; Metazoa; Mollusca; Bivalvia; Ostreida; Ostreidae. The record is from RefSeq and is a predicted model, not a curated record. The transcript is spliced from 2 exons.
AAAAUUCCGAUGAUGAAAGUGAUACAGUAUAUCUAGUACGUGAACUGUUUGGGUUUUUUUCUAAAAUUUAAUCUUUGCAGUUAAUGUACUCUGUAUACUAAAAAUUCAUAUUGAUUUUGGAUAGAAUUUCACAUUUAAAAACAAAUAGAUAUGCGCCAAGUCCUUAGGAAUCAACCCCACCCCCACCCCUCCACACGGGACUUUUUUUUGGAUGAUUGGACCGUAUCCCCCUUUUUCAUCUGUCUCCCUACUUUGAAGUUUUUUUCCCAACGCCAUGACAUAAAUAGAUAAAUAAAUAAAAUGCAAAAAUAAAAACGAAAGAUAUAUAUGUAUUCGGAUUGGCAUGUUCCACUUUGUCCGGGUUGAAAUCCCCGAGGAUGCAAAUGUACAUUACGCCGCACUGUUUGCAGUACGUACAUGGUACAGGUGUACCGCAUAGGUAUGUAGCUACUAAGACUAUAAACCAAACAGAAUAUCAUAUGUAAAACUAUUACUCUGAAUGCAUUUUACUUGUUUACAAUGUAGCCUGUCGGGGUGUGGUGCAUGUCACACGCGUUGUUUACACGUGCACUUUAGGUGGCAGUGGAGGAAAUUCGAACCAUGUAUGGAUUAUUGUCUCCUGAUAACUUUGGCAGUUAACUUUUGAUUUCAAUCUACUUUUUAAGAAUAAUAUAACCCUCGCUAAUCAUUGCCAACCUGCAUUUCGAUCUUGGCAGAAUGAUCUUCAGCUACAAUUCAAAAUUAAGGGGUGAUGUUGUGUACUGAGUUUUUCUUGAUUGUUUACAUCUGUGACUGUUUAUGUGAUGUAUCAACUGAUCAAGCUGUACAGUGUCAUGACAUAUAGUGGCAUAGCUUCCAUUUAUGUACUUGCGCAUCAUUUUGUCAAAAGAAGAAAAUUCUAAAAUGAUAAUUAAGAUUUUUAACAUGUAUAUGAAUAUACAUGUAUGUGUAUGUUUGAUUUUAGUAUAAUACCUGUAGAGAAUAUUUCAGUAGUAUGAAGUGCCACACAUUUAGACGCAUGCAUGUGGUGUUUAAAGGUCUCAUCUGAAAGACCAGCAACUUUCUCUUUUGAAUGCUAAAUAUGAUGAUGGAGCAUUCACCUCACUACCUACAUUUUCACCCUAAAUAAAGUACAAGCAUGGCUCGAAACCAUGAUUUCUUGAUCCUGUUACCAGUCUUCACGAAAAACUUUGUAAACUACAGGCCCUUCGGGCCUCCCAGUAUAAUAAUUGUGCAAGCCCGAACAAUAUUUUGCAGGCCCAAAAUGUUUAUUUUCUAAUUUGAUCUCUUGUUAUUUGCUGAUUCUACUCUAUAGACACAUGCACAGUUCUUUUACUGUAGGAAAAUACAGGUCAAGAUGAUCAUAGUUAAAGAACAACUGACAUUAAAAGGAUUAUAUUAUUUUUCAACAUAUUAAUCCAGUAUAUGCGAAAGUUUUUGGACCACACAGGACAUUCGGUCCAGUGUAAUCAAUGAACACACCGGACCGAACCAAAUUUUGUCAGACCGAAAAACCUAAUGUAAAAAAGUGAAACACGUGAAAAUGCAAAACCAAGUGAAUCUUAUUUAUUAUACUAGUUAUACUAUUCCAGGAAUCCUUCCCGUAUAAUACUUUAGACAGUCCAUGCGGUUUUAAUCAAUUCAUUUACGUAUUUGGAUGUGUGCUAUUUUUUUUACUUAUAACAAACUCCGCAUCAAGAUAGUAAAGCUCAAAACUGGACAUUGAGACAUCUGACAUUCCGGUCCGGUGUAAAAAAUGAUGCAUCGGACCUGAGUCACUGCAUAUCGGUCAGGUCCGACGGUCCGAUGUCUUUCGCAUAGACUGAUUAAUCUCGCAGAUACAUCAGCAGCUCAUGUUCAACUCUGUUUUGUAUACACCACGUACAAAACAUUUUUUAAAUGUUAGCCAAGGCCUACCCUCGCAGUGUUCGAAAUUGGUUUAAAACUUGGUAUAGACCACAGGUCUAUGCCAAAAUAAGAUGACUUAGACCUCAUCGAAUUGGCAUAGACCACAACAUUGAAAAAAUAAUAACACAAAUUUAAAACAUUUUCAUUUACUUCUAAUAUACUUAGUAAGUGUAUUUUCUUUCCAUUUCUGUAAUAUCAUCCUUUCCUCAUAAUGUUUAUCAGACGUCGACUGACCAUGCAAGGCCCUCUUGGAUAACUUUAUUGCUUUAAAUUUAGAAAAUUGGCAUAGACAAUUAGGUCUAUCUCAAUUACAGUUGGCAUAGACCAGUGCCAUUUGACAUAUACUCGGUCUAUGGUUAAUUUUGAACACUGCCCUCGGUCCAAUGGGGCAUGAAUUUUCGUUUUUUUCUCCUCGUACGACAGUUUUUUUGGGGUUUUUUUAUCGGAUGGUUGUGAUUGUGAAAUACGCUUGGGUGGUUUUGAAUUUCCCGGACGAGCCCCCUCCCUAUACUUCAGAAAAGGCAGCAUGGUUGAUAAUUUUUCUAUGCGAAAUUUGACUACUAAGUCAUGACAUUUAGUCUGAGUCAAUCUCACGCUUUAUUUGUAAUAUAUACAGAACAUAUAAGAAAACAUUUACAGGCCCAUCGGACUCCAGGGUUUAAUAUUUUAAGAAGCCCGAUCCCGAUUUUACUGGCCUCGGGCAUCAGGCCACUGGUUAAUGUCGAAGACUGUGUUACCACUGAGCUACCAUGACCAAUUUUUAUACGCCCGUCUUAAGACGGGACGUAUUAUGGUAUGGUGUGUCUGUCCGUCCGUCUGUUAGCUUUUUCGUGUCCGACCCGUAACUUAAAUACUACAAGGCCUAGAAUCAUCAAACUUUGUCUGUAGAUACAUCUUGGGUAGAAGGUGUGUCGCACAUUAAAACCAGGUCACUGUGACUUUUAAUUAAGAAGAUAUGGCCAUAUAUGGCAAAAACUUGUCCGUCUGUUAGCUUUUUCGUGUCCGACUCGUAACUUAAAUACUACAAGGCCUAGAAUCAUCAAACUUUGUCUGUAGAUACAUCUUGGGUAGAAGGUGUGUCGCACAUUAAAACCAGGUCACUGUGACUUUUCAUUAAGAAGAUAUGGCCAUAUAUGGCAAAAACUUGUCCGGCUCAUAACUUGAAAACUAUUAGACCUAGAAUCACCAAAAUUGGUCAACUAAUGCGUCUUAGGUAGAAGGUGUGUCGCAUGCUACUUUAAGGUCACUGUGACAUUUAAUUAAGGUGAUAUAAAAAAAAAAUGUUUUAAUGGGUACUAUCUAUACUGUUAACAAUAUGUGACGGGCGUAUCAUUUGCCAUGGCGGUGCACUUUAUUUAACAUGAAUUCAUAGCUAAAAAAAAAUUAUUACUAAUUUUUUGGUUAAUUCCAUAAAUAUAUUAUUCCGCUCUCUAGACACAAUUCUGGGUUACCCCCCUGCCUUUGGGGGUAUAAGCACCUCAUUUCUUUCAGAAUGGCACAAUGUCAGGAGAGCUUUUGUUAUUUGUUAUACUCUUAAUGUUGAUGGCAUGCAUCUAUGAACAACAGGAUAAUUUUUUAGAUUAUUAUUUCUGAUAUCAUAUUUGUAAAUUGUUUAUGAGGGGUUGUUAAAAGUUUGUGGACAAAAGGACGCACUUAUUAAAAAUUCAGAGUUAUCGUAAGUGAAAAAUAUAGGAGAUGUGUAACAAGAUUGUAUAUUUGAAGAUUUUAAUUUUAAUUAAUUUUUAUAAGUAUUGAUUUCAGAUACAUGUAUGACAUUGCAUGCUUGGUGGGGUGGGGGGGGGGGGGGGGGGGGGGGGGGGGCUACAGUUAGAUAAUAUUCUGGUCAGCACAUUCGAUAAACUACAUGGAAUUCAUUAAAUCACUUCUUUUUCUUUCAGUGGUCUUCAACUUUUAAUCUCCAAGAAGGAAAUGUAAUUAAAAGAUGAAUAAAGUAUCCCUAAGAAUACCAGAAGAAAGGCUAUGUGUUGAGAAAAACAGCCCUUCCUCAGUACCUCAGAACUAGAUGAUAGCCCUUAAUUGUUACUUUAUGCUGAAUAUGACACAGUAUAGAAGAUCUGAUCAUGAAGAAGUAACACCAUUGAUACACUUGCCAACUGCCAAAAUUACUUUCUGAUAGUAUGACGAGAUUAGAAGAUAUCAUGGUGUAGUCAUGACACAAACUGCAAAUCAAAGAAUUAAUUGUCUUCCCCAGAGGAUGAACAGAGCACGAUGGCUUCACAUGGAUAACAUUUCCUUUCGAGUUUUGAAAUUAAUUUGUCAGAAUGUUAUGCAUCAUUAUCAACAGAAAAGAACUUCAUAGGUAGACCAAAGCUGACAUGGGAUGAGAUCCUAGAACAAGACCUAGAGUUUACAGGAUUGGAUAGGAUCAAUCCACUGGGUCGCCAAGUGUGGAAGUACAAACUUCAACCUCGACAGGACAGCCAGGCCUCACCCUUGCAAAAAGAUUAAUUUGGCCUGGAUAGUCAAAAUGAGUGAUGAUGAUUGAUAUCAAGGUCUGACACUGGAAGCUCAGUAAGGGUAGAUGCUGGCAAUGGAGCUGUUUAGCAAUAAAACAAACAAGUUUAACAUUAAACAUGUUUGUAUACUUUUUUGGCUCACCUGAGCCAAAGGCUCAAGUGAGCUUUUCUGAUCACCUUUGCCUGUCGUCUGUCUGUUUAUAAACUUUUCACAUUUUCAUUUUCUUCUCCAGAGUGAACCACUGGGCCAGUUUCAAUCAAACUUGGUAUGCAUCAUCAAUAGAUAAAGGGUAUUCAAGUUUGUUCAUAUAAAGGGUCAUGCACCCUUCAAAAAGGAAAUAAUCAUGGAAAUGCAAAAAUAGGGUGGGGUCAUUUAAAAAACCUUUUCAAGAACCACUGGACCAGGAAAGUUGAAUUCACACGAAAGGUUCCUGUUUUGUGCAAAUCAUGGUCUCUGGGGGUAGGGUGGGGUCACAAUAGAGAAUCAAAGUUUUACAUUCAUAUAUAGUGCAUAUUCAAGUUUGUAAAAAGCUCACAGGGGUAGGGUGGGGGUCACAAUAGGGGAUUUAAGUUUUACAUGUGAAAUAUAUACAAGGAAAAUCUUUUAAAAUCUUCUCCUCAAAAACUAGAUGCAGAACCGUAGCUCUUUGAAAAGAGAGCUUCAGAUGAACCCCUUAUAAAAAAAACUUCAAUUUAUGGCAGAGAAAAAAAGUGCAUGUUUAAGUCCCUCUAUCACUGCAUUCCUGCAUCGCUGUCUCAUGAAUUUAAUAUUAAAUAAUUCCCAACAUAUUUUCCCACUAUACUUGUUUCCAAACAUACUUUCAAAUAUUUUCUAAACCCACAUAUAACCCCAAAACAGCUUCAAGUGAUUUCAAUUUCUUUGUUGAUGUAGCCAUGUUAAGUAGCCAGUCGAUUUGAACCCCAGUUCAUUUCCAUACUCAUACUCAUUUUGAAACAUAAUGUUUGUGUGAACUAAUAUCCUCACAAAUAUUUUUAGUGAAAUAUUUAGGAUGAAAUCAUCCCAGUUGGGUUAAAUACUUAUUAUUCAAAUACUGUAGGUUUGAAUAUUAAACUAAUCUCACAGCUUUCUUAAGUUUGGUCCCCAUCCCCACCAGUCUGUUUUUACGCUUAACUAUUGAAAUGGGGUGUAAGGGAUCAGACUAGGCUUUUAUAGCAUUAUCAAUUUUCAAAAGCUUUAGAAAAAUUAUACAAUUUUAGGUCACUUGAGUAAACUCAGAUGACAUAUUGCUAUUGAUCUGCAUCUGUUGUAGUCCGUCGACAUUAACAAUUGAACAUUUUUAACUAAAUUCUAUAACUGAAAGAUGAAGAUACCGCACAGCGAUCAAUCUACGAUUCAAAUAACGGAAUUCUUUUCAAAUUUAGUAUGAAGCACACAAAUUUACAUUAAACCUUCUUGACAUAGUGCAUAUUCAAGUUUGUUAAAAUCAUUUCCCCGGGAGUUAUGGUGUGGUAACAAUAGGGGGUCAAAGUUUUAUAUGCUAGCUGAUAUAAAGGAAAAUUCUUUAAAGAUAUCUCUUGAACUAUUUAAGCUAGGGCUUUCAUAUCUUGUAUAUACAAUUUUUAUGGCAAAACAAAUCUGACCUAUUCAGUAUGUCCUGAACUACAUUGUGUUUAAGGUAGAUCUUUCAUAUAUAUUAUAUAUUAUGAAUUUCUUAUGAUAAAACCUUUCAUCUUGUUGAGGAGCCUCUCACCUCUGGUUGGCGCGGGUUUGAAUCCUGCUCGCACCGGUAAUUGAGAAAGUUUCCCAGUUUACUCUCGGAAGGUCGGUGGUCUCUUCCCAGGUACAUUGUAUCUGGGUUCUCUCUUCCACCAAUAAAAACUGGGCACCACCAGAUAACUGAAAAAUUGUUGAGUGUGGCGGAAAACAGUUAAAACAAUCAAUCAUAUUAUGUUAUUUGACCUUGUGACCCUGAACUCUGAGUUUGACAUACUUUUAAGAAAGUAUAACGUAUUAAGUAUAUCCAGGACUAUUUUAGAUAGGGCUUUUAUGUUUUGUAUAUUGAUUACUUAUGGCAAGGUCUUUCAUAUCAUACCAAGACCUACGACUUUUUACCUUGGUCUUAUCCAGAACAGCAAUAUCAUGCUAGUCAUAUCUUUGUCUUAUAUGAUUUCAUUUUAGUAAUGUUGUGUUCUUUAGAGCUAGAUUUGGGUCACAUUAUUCAUGAGAAUAAAGAUUGAUAAAAUAGCAUUUAAAAAUCAAAACAGCAGGGCCAAGAUGACUCAGGUGAGCGAUGUGGCCCAUGGGCCUCUUGUUGAUUUUGAUAUUUCUACCUAUAUCAUUUGUAUGAGAAAUGGAACUCCUUUUUUUCUUUUACAAAUACAUGUAUUAUCAUAUGGAUCCAUCUUUGUUGAUUAUUUAAUCAAAGGACAUAUUCAAUGUAUUAAAUGUAAAUUUAUGGAUAUGUCUGUGGUUGAAUUACUUAUGUAUGUAUGUAUACAUUUUUCUCGCACAUGCAAUUACAUAUAUGAUGUAUAUAUAUUUACUAAUUGUACAUGUAAUAUCCCCUGUUAUAUAAUAAAAUAUAUGACUGAGAAUAAAA